This 73-nucleotide transfer RNA is filed under the name Sphaerodactylus townsendi. RNAcentral's name for it is "tRNA-Ala". It matches the Rfam family "tRNA". Rfam says of the family: Transfer RNA (tRNA) molecules are approximately 80 nucleotides in length. Their secondary structure includes four short double-helical elements and three loops (D, anti-codon, and T loops). The record is from RNAcentral. Lineage: Eukaryota; Metazoa; Chordata; Lepidosauria; Squamata; Sphaerodactylidae.
UGGGGCUGUGGCGUAGUGGUAGACCAUCUGCUUUGCACGCAGAGGAUCCCAGGUUCAAUCCCUGGUACCUCAA